UACGUAGGGAGCAAGCGUUGUUCGGAUUUACUGGGCGUAAAGGGCGCGUAGGCGGCAAUUCAAGUCAGCUGUGAAAUCUCCGGGCUUAACUCGGAACGGUCAGCUGAUACUGCUUUGCUAGAGUGCGGAAGGGGCAAUCGGAAUUCUCGGUGUAGCGGUGAAAUGCGUAGAUAUCGAGAGGAACACCAGUAGCGAAGGCGGCUCGCUGGGCCAUUCCUGACGCUGAGAAGCGAAAGCAUGGGGAGCGAACAGG
RNAcentral lists this ribosomal RNA (253 nucleotides) under uncultured bacterium. RNAcentral's name for it is "partial 16S ribosomal RNA". It matches the Rfam family "Bacterial small subunit ribosomal RNA", at positions 524 to 776 of the family's 1533-position model. The record is from RNAcentral.